GAGUUUGAUCAUGGCUCAGAUUGAACGCUGGCGGCGGGCCUAACACAUGCAAGUCGAACGGUAACAGGAAGCAGCUUGCUGCUUCGCUGACGAGUGGCGGACGGGUGAGUAAUGUCUGGGAAGCUGCCUGAUGGAGGGGGAUAACUACUGGAAACGGUAGCUAAUACCGCAUAAUGUCGCAAGACCAAAGAGGGGGACCUUCGGGCCUCUUGCCAUCGGAUGUGCCCAGAUGGGAUUAGCUUGUUGGUGGGGUAACGGCUCACCAAGGCGACGAUCCCUAGCUGGUCUGAGAGGAUGACCAGCCACACUGGAACUGAGACACGGUCCAGACUCCUACGGGAGGCAGCAGUGGGGAAUAUUGCACAAUGGGCGCAAGCCUGAUGCAGCCAUGCCGCGUGUAUGAAGAAGGCCUUCGGGUUGUAAAGUACUUUCAGCGGGGAGGAAGGGAGUAAAGUUAAUACCUUUGCUCAUUGACGUUACCCGCAGAAGAAGCACCGGCUAACUCCGUGCCAGCAGCCGCGGUAAUACGGAGGGUGCAAGCGUUAAUCGGAAUUACUGGGCGUAAAGCGCACGCAGGCGGUUUGUUAAGUCAGAUGUGAAAUCCCCGGGCUCAACCUGGGAACUGCAUCUGAUACUGGCAAGCUUGAGUCUCGUAGAGGGGGGUAGAAUUCCAGGUGUAGCGGUGAAAUGCGUAGAGAUCUGGAGGAAUACCGGUGGCGAAGGCGGCCCCCUGGACGAAGACUGACGCUCAGGUGCGAAAGCGUGGGGAGCAAACAGGAUUAGAUACCCUGGUAGUCCACGCCGUAAACGAUGUCGACUUGGAGGUUGUGCCCUUGAGGCGUGGCUUCCGGAGCUAACGCGUUAAGUCGACCGCCUGGGGAGUACGGCCGCAAGGUUAAAACUCAAAUGAAUUGACGGGGGCCCGCACAAGCGGUGGAGCAUGUGGUUUAAUUCGAUGCAACGCGAAGAACCUUACCUGGUCUUGACAUCCACGGAAGUUUUCAGAGAUGAGAAUGUGCCUUCGGGAACCGUGAGACAGGUGCUGCAUGGCUGUCGUCAGCUCGUGUUGUGAAAUGUUGGGUUAAGUCCCGCAACGAGCGCAACCCUUAUCCUUUGUUGCCAGCGGUCCGGCCGGGAACUCAAAGGAGACUGCCAGUGAUAAACUGGAGGAAGGUGGGGAUGACGUCAAGUCAUCAUGGCCCUUACGACCAGGGCUACACACGUGCUACAAUGGCGCAUACAAAGAGAAGCGACCUCGCGAGAGCAAGCGGACCUCAUAAAGUGCGUCGUAGUCCGGAUUGGAGUCUGCAACUCGACUCCAUGAAGUCGGAAUCGCUAGUAAUCGUGGAUCAGAAUGCCACGGUGAAUACGUUCCCGGGCCUUGUACACACCGCCCGUCACACCAUGGGAGUGGGUUGCAAAAGAAGUAGGUAGCUUAACCUUCGGGAGGGCGCUUACCACUUUGUGAUUCAUGACUGGGGUGAAGUCGAAACAAGGUA
This 1499-nucleotide ribosomal RNA is filed under the name metagenome. RNAcentral describes it as "bacterial SSU rRNA". It matches the Rfam family "Bacterial small subunit ribosomal RNA". The record is from RNAcentral.